GGUUGGGAAUUGAGCAAGAAGGCACAUUUUGAAGGAAAAGGAGAAGAAAAGAUAAGGGAAGUCUGUGUCUUCCCCACACUCCUCCUCCCCCUCGCCCAGGUCAGCGCCCCGCACUCGCCCCAGCUCACCCCGGUUAGAUCUGUCCAGAAAAGUCCGUCAGGAUCCUAGCCCCCUCCCGCCCCUGUGGGCCUGUUAACCCGGAGCAGAUUUGGGAAGGGAAAUGUGGCUAAUAUCUCUAGCAGCUGUCAGAGGAGGGACCUUCCUUCAAAGGGACUGGACAGGGAUCCUCCACAAGUUCCCCACCAGUCUUGCAGAACCUAGCCCAGGAACCUCCAGAGUGUCAGAUCAAAUGCAAGCAACAAAGGCUCCCCCGCCCCGCGUCACGCCUUCUCCAAUCCUCCUCUUUGGGGAUGCUCCGGGAAGGGCUACUUCCCGGGGACUUGAGGGGACCAGCGCUCCUAGGGCAAGGCGGAGGCAGCCCGGGCUGAUGCCAGUGAAGGGAUGCCUCAGUCCUCCGGUUGUGUUUCAAGAAUUGCUGGGGCUAUUAUGACAACUGAGGGCAAAGAAGGGAAAACAGACUCCAAGAAAACCAUCUCAAAAGUCUUGGAUUUGCUGCUCUUAAAAGGCUGCUGUUCAUUUCUGACUUCCUCAUCUUUUGCUACAAAGGAAAAAGGAAUCUAAUGAUGUGUCUACACUUGAUGAGAAAAAACACUAACAACAGUGAAGGUGCACUUGUUUUAUUUUCUUUUUCCCUGAUUUUUUUUUUUUUAAUAUCCUCUAUUUUAGCAGGUUGAAAGCUGUGGAGAUGUAAAAGGAUGUUCACUUGCCCACAUCUAUUCGCUGACUUUCAUCACUUGAAUUUUGUAGGAUUUUUUUGUCAAAUAGAAGUUAUGGGAAAGAGAAUUAGACACUUGCCAAGGGACAACAGUAUUAUACACUUGCAAGUAAGCUCCACCUAAUCCCGUAUUUGAGUGCUGAGGGGGUGUGUGCUAUUUUCCUUUAAUAAACCUCAAAGCCCUCAUUAGACAUAAAGAGGGGUGAGAACUCUAUUACGGGGCAUUCUGACAAAAAAGGAAGCAGUGCAUCUCUGCUCUUAAGAGCCCUAGGAAACGAUACCCGGAAAAAAUGCCAAAGCCGUUGUGUUUUCCUUUAGAGCCCUGAAGUUGGGCAGACUUCUCAGAGAAAUACAGAGUAAUUAACAUUUUACAAAGCAAAAUGCUGAAACGCAGGGUGGUGGCUAACAAUAAAUAAAUAAAUAAACCAUGCUAAAAAUUAUUCUUCAAACCCUAUAAAUUUUCAGAUGCCACGAAAAAUCAAUGGAAACGCGCCCCCUCCAAACUGAGCACAGAGCUCUCCUACCCUGGAAUUGGAGAUCCCCCCUCGGCUGGAGCACUGGGAGCUAUUACCCGGAGACCACAGGCAGGGGAGGGAGUGUGGCCCCUGCCCCCUUCCCCACCUGUUCCCUCCUCCCCUCCCUGAGGCUCAGGACAGGCGGGGAACUGCGCCGCCGAUUGUGCUCCCAAUCAUCAAGGGGUACUGUGAACUGAGGCUCCUACUAAACCAAGGAGGAAACCCCACCAGCACCCCAGAAGCCGAAGACCCCGCCAAAAGGGAGAGGUCCCCUGUCCCAGGCACACGCAGCUGCCCGCCCAGUCCCGGGCCAGGCUCCAGGUGCCCGGGUGGACAAAAGGAUCCUAGGCCACGUUGGUCCUGGAGCAAGUGUGAAAUGCAAUGGAGGGGAAGAGUGUGUCCCCUCUGCACGCUAUGGUGUGUGUGUGUGUGUGUGUAAGAGGUGUGCACUGUAGAGCGGGCCUCUGGCGGCAGAUGUCAGCUGGGGAUGUUCACCCACGCAGCUUCGGGGGCCACAAUCCCUCAC
Long non-coding RNA from Cervus elaphus (red deer), 1876 nucleotides. RefSeq lists it as uncharacterized. Lineage: Eukaryota; Metazoa; Chordata; Mammalia; Artiodactyla; Cervidae. The record is from RefSeq and is a predicted model, not a curated record. The transcript is spliced from 4 exons.